AAAAAUGCAUUUCCAAGGGUCAUUGAUUGAAAGUGCUUGGAAUUCCAGGCACUCCCUUCUACAAACCACAUUUUUCCAGGGAUGGAGACAAAAAGUGGCAAGGAAAUCCGGGGGAGAUCAACUUAUUCACAGUGGAAUUCCGGGGUCAUGCGGAAAAAAAUGAAUUUCCAAGGGUCAUUGAUUAAAAACAAUUGGAAUUCCAGGCACCCCCUUCUACAAACCACAUUUUUCCAGGGCUUCUGACAAAAAAUUACUUGGAAAUCCAGGGGGUAGGAGAAUUUACGCCGUGUGUCCUCAACAGGGGGUGUACGGAUAAAAAAUGCAAUAAGCCAUUG
Molecule: non-coding RNA, 335 nt
Organism: Paramuricea clavata
Lineage: Eukaryota; Metazoa; Cnidaria; Anthozoa; Malacalcyonacea; Plexauridae
Source: the annotation of a GenBank genome assembly